CGCGCAAAUUACCCAAUUCUAACAGUUUGAGAGAGGUAGUAACAAGAAAUAACAAUACAAGGCAGUUAAAAUGCUUUGUAAUUGGAAUGAUAGAAAUUUAAACCCUUUUUAAAGUAUCAAUUGGAGGGCAAGACUGGUGCCAGCAGCCGCGGUAAUUCCAGCUCCAAUAGCGUAUAUUAAAAUUGUUGCAGUUAAAAAGCUCGUAGUUGAAGUUCUGCUAAAAGUAACCGGUCUG
This 235-nucleotide ribosomal RNA is filed under the name Hepatozoon canis. RNAcentral's name for it is "partial 18S ribosomal RNA". It matches the Rfam family "Eukaryotic small subunit ribosomal RNA", at positions 433 to 662 of the family's 1831-position model. The record is from RNAcentral. Lineage: Eukaryota; Apicomplexa; Hepatozoidae.